AUUGAACGCUGGCGGCAGGCCUAACACAUGCAAGUCGAACGAGUGGCGGACGGGUGAGUAAUGUCUGGGAAACUGCCCGAUGGAGGGGGAUAACUACUGGAAACGGUAGCUAAUACCGCAUACCAUCGGAUGUGCCCAGAUGGGUUUAGCUAGUAGGGGGGGUAACGGCACACCUGGGCGACGAUCCCUACUUGGUCUGAGAGGAUGACCAGCCACACUGGAACUUAGACACGGUCCAGACUCCUACGGGAUGCAGCAGUGGGGAAUAUUGCACAAUGGGCGCAAGCCUGAUGCAGCCAUGCCGCGUGUAUGAAGAAGGCCUUCGGGUUGUAAAGUACUGUCAGCGAGGAGGCGUUACUCGCAGAAGAAGCACCGGCUAACUCCGUGCCAGCAGCCGCGGUAAUUC
This 406-nucleotide ribosomal RNA is filed under the name uncultured bacterium. Its description in RNAcentral is "partial 16S ribosomal RNA". It matches the Rfam family "Bacterial small subunit ribosomal RNA", at positions 30 to 526 of the family's 1533-position model. The record is from RNAcentral.